AGCAAUGAUGUCGUGGGUAGGUUUGUAACGAGUGGCGGGCGGCCUGACAGUUGGUGCCGAUGUUGUGUUGGGUUGGGGGUCGCGGUCGGGCAGCGUCUGACC
RNAcentral lists this small nucleolar RNA (102 nucleotides) under Neurospora crassa. Its description in RNAcentral is "box C/D snoRNA CD45". The record is from RNAcentral. Lineage: Eukaryota; Fungi; Ascomycota; Sordariomycetes; Sordariales; Sordariaceae.